RNAcentral lists this ribosomal RNA (618 nucleotides) under Clupea harengus (Atlantic herring). RNAcentral's name for it is "partial 16S ribosomal RNA". The record is from RNAcentral. Lineage: Eukaryota; Metazoa; Chordata; Actinopteri; Clupeiformes; Clupeidae.
GUUGCUCAAGAAAUGAAUACAAGUUCAGCCCCGCUACGCCCCUCGCCACAACAGUUUUACUAAGACUAGGCAAAGGGACACUAACGGAAGUUAGUUGAAGGAGGUACAGCUCCCUCAACAAAGGACACAACCUUCAACAGGAGGCUAAAGAAUAAAUUAAAACGAGGCCACAGGUUUCAGUGGGCCUAAAAGCAGCCAUCUGAACAGAAAGCGUUAAAGCUCGGACCAGAACAAGCCUAUUAUAAUAUUAUAACCUCUAAUGCCCCUAUUACUACUGAGCCAUCCUAUGCCUACAUAGGAGGGACCAUGCUAGAACGAGUAACAAGAAGAAUGAACUUCUCCCCGCACAAGUGUAAGUUGGAUCGGACCCCCCACCAACAAUUAACGAACCCAAUAAUAGAGGAGCCUACACCCCCGCCACCCUAGGCCAAGAAGACCACGUAUUACCAUAUCGUUAACCCCACACAGGAGUGCUAGACAAGGGAAAGACUAAAAGGAUGAAAAGGAACUCGGCAAACCGAAACCCCGCCUGUUUACCAAAAACACCGCCUCCUGACCACACCACAUAGGAGGUCCCGCCUGCCCAGUGACCAAAAGUUUAACGGCCGCGGUAUUUUA